Molecule: ribosomal RNA, 429 nt
Filed under: Fusobacteriota bacterium
Lineage: Bacteria; Fusobacteriati; Fusobacteriota
Description: Fusobacteria bacterium partial 16S ribosomal RNA
Rfam family: Bacterial small subunit ribosomal RNA
Source: RNAcentral
UGGGGAAUCUUCCGCAAUGGACGAAAGUCUGACGGAGCAACGCCGCGUGAGUGAAGACGGCCUUCGGGUUGUAAAGCUCUGUGAUCCGGGACGAAAGAGCCUGAGGUGAAUAGCCUAAGGAAGUGACGGUACCGGAAAAGCAAGCCACGGCUAACUACGUGCCAGCCGCCGCGGUAAUACGUAGGUGGCAAGCGUUGUCCGGAAUUAUUGGGCGUAAAGCGCGCGCAGGCGGCUUCCUAAGUCCAUCUUAAAAGUGCGGGGCUUAACCCCGUGAUGGGAUGGAAACUGGGAAGCUGGAGUAUCGGAGAGGAAAGUGGAAUUCCUGGUGUAGCGGUGAAAUGCGUAGAGAUUAGGAAGAACACCGGUGGCGAAGGCGACUUUCUGGACGAAAACUGACGCUGAGGCGCGAAAGCGUGGGGAGCAAACAGG